AGCGAACGUUUGCGGCGGGCCUAACACAUGCAAGUCGAACGAGAAUCCCCUUCGGGGGAGGAAAGUGGCGCACGGGUGCGUAACACGUGGGUAAUCAACCCUUUGGUCUGGGACAACCUCGGGAAACCGGGGCUAAUACCGGAUGAGUCGUCGCGGUCUUCGGACCGUGCCGAGAAAGGUCCGCAAGGAUCGCCAGAGGACGAGCUCGCGGCCCAUCAGCUAGAUGGUGAGGUAAUAGCUCACCAUGGCGAAGACGGGUAGCUGGUCUGAGAGGAUGAUCAGCCACACUGGAACUGAGACACGGUCCAGACUCCUACGGGAGGCAGCAGUGGGGAAUAUUGCGCAAUGGGCGAAAGCCUGACGCAGCCACGCCGUGUGAGCGGUGAAGGCCUUCGGGUCGUAAAGCUCUGUGGAGGGAGAAGAAUAAAGCCACUGAAGAGGUGGCCUUGACGGUAUCCCUUUAGCAAGCACCGGCUAACUCCGUGCCAGCAGCCGCGGUAAUAC
Molecule: ribosomal RNA, 504 nt
Filed under: uncultured bacterium
Lineage: Bacteria
Description: bacterial SSU rRNA
Rfam family: Bacterial small subunit ribosomal RNA
Source: RNAcentral